GCCCGCGUAGUUUAAUGGUUAUGACGUCAGACUUCUAUGAGCCACGCGAUGCUGGUCCGAGUUAAAAUCUGAAGGCUGCGGGUUCGAGUCCCGCCGUGGGUA
Schizopora paradoxa is the source of this 102-nucleotide transfer RNA. It matches the Rfam family "tRNA". Rfam says of the family: Transfer RNA (tRNA) molecules are approximately 80 nucleotides in length. Their secondary structure includes four short double-helical elements and three loops (D, anti-codon, and T loops). The record is from Rfam. Lineage: Eukaryota; Fungi; Basidiomycota; Agaricomycetes; Hymenochaetales; Schizoporaceae.